RNAcentral lists this ribosomal RNA (469 nucleotides) under Acidovorax sp. RNAcentral's name for it is "bacterial SSU rRNA". It matches the Rfam family "Bacterial small subunit ribosomal RNA", at positions 395 to 857 of the family's 1533-position model. The record is from RNAcentral. Lineage: Bacteria; Pseudomonadati; Pseudomonadota; Betaproteobacteria; Burkholderiales; Comamonadaceae.
UGCCGCGUGCAGGAUGAAGGCCUUCGGGUUGUAAACUGCUUUUGUACGGAACGAAAAGACUCUGGUUAAUACCUGGGGUCCAUGACGGUACCGUAAGAAUAAGCACCGGCUAACUACGUGCCAGCAGCCGCGGUAAUACGUAGGGUGCAAGCGUUAAUCGGAAUUACUGGGCGUAAAGCGUGCGCAGGCGGUUAUAUAAGACAGAUGUGAAAUCCCCGGGCUCAACCUGGGAACUGCAUUUGUGACUGUAUAGCUAGAGUACGGUAGAGGGGGAUGGAAUUCCGCGUGUAGCAGUGAAAUGCGUAGAUAUGCGGAGGAACACCGAUGGCGAAGGCAAUCCCCUGGACCUGUACUGACGCUCAUGCACGAAAGCGUGGGGAGCAAACAGGAUUAGAUACCCUGGUAGUCCACGCCCUAAACGAUGUCAACUGGUUGUUGGGUCUUCACUGACUCAGUAACGAAGCUAACG